Molecule: transfer RNA, 73 nt
Filed under: Felis catus (domestic cat)
Lineage: Eukaryota; Metazoa; Chordata; Mammalia; Carnivora; Felidae
Also listed under: 2 other names
Rfam family: tRNA
About the family: Transfer RNA (tRNA) molecules are approximately 80 nucleotides in length. Their secondary structure includes four short double-helical elements and three loops (D, anti-codon, and T loops). Further hydrogen bonds mediate the characteristic L-shaped molecular structure. tRNAs have two regions of fundamental functional importance: the anti-codon, which is responsible for specific mRNA codon recognition, and the 3' end, to which the tRNAs corresponding amino acid is attached (by aminoacyl-tRNA synthetases). tRNAs cope with the degeneracy of the genetic code in two manners: having more than one tRNA (with a specific anti-codon) for a particular amino acid; and 'wobble' base-pairing, i.e. permitting non-standard base-pairing at the 3rd anti-codon position.
Source: Rfam by way of RNAcentral
GCCUGGCUGGCUCAGUCAGUAGAGCAUGUAACUCUUGAUCUCAGUGCUAUGAGUUCAAGCCCCAUGUUGGGUA